CCUACGGGCGGCAGCAGUGAGGAAUAUUGGUCAAUGGGCGCUAGCCUGAACCAGCCAAGUAGCGUGAAGGAUGACUGCCCUAUGGGUUGUAAACUUCUUUUAUAUGGGAAUAAAGUGCAGUAUGUAUACUGCUUUGCAUGUACCUUAUGAAUAAGGAUCGGCUAACUCCGUGCCAGCAGCCGCGAUAAUACGGAGGUUCCGAGCGUUAUCCGGAUUUUUUGGGUUUAAAGGGAGCGUAGGCGGGUUGUUAAGUCAGUUGGGAAAGUUUGCGGCUCAACCGUAAGAUUGCAGUUGAUACUGGCAGCCUUGAGUACAGUAGAGGUAGGCGGAAUUCGUGGUGUAGCGGUGAAAUGCAUAGAUAUCACGCAGAACCCCGAUUGCGAAGGCAGCAUGCCGGCUUCCUACUGACGCUGAAGCACGAAAGCGUGGGGAUCGAACAGGAUUAGAUACCCCUGUAGUC
RNAcentral lists this ribosomal RNA (460 nucleotides) under uncultured bacterium. RNAcentral's name for it is "partial 16S ribosomal RNA". It matches the Rfam family "Bacterial small subunit ribosomal RNA", at positions 338 to 795 of the family's 1533-position model. The record is from RNAcentral.